Molecule: non-coding RNA, 691 nt
Organism: Odocoileus virginianus texanus
Lineage: Eukaryota; Metazoa; Chordata; Mammalia; Artiodactyla; Cervidae
Source: RefSeq, a predicted model, not a curated record
GCAGUCGGUGGUGGUGCCCAGGUGCCGGGGGACAGCUGAGGCGCUUCAGAUCACAGUGGGCCACAUCCUGGGAGAUGCCGGCAGCCCCUACCUCACGGGACUUAUCUCCAGUGCCCUGCGGGCGGGGCGCCCCGACACUUACCUGCAGCGCUUCCUCAGCCUUCAGCAGAGCUUCCUGUGCUGCGCCUUCGUCAUUGCCCUGGGCGGCGGCUGCUUCCUGCUGACUGCGCUGUACCUGGAGAGAGACCAGGCCCAGGUCCAGCAGUCUGGCACAGGGAUCCUUGAGAGCGAGAGCCAACGCCUGAUUUCUGGCAGGGGUGCCUCCCCAGAGGGCCCCUGAGGCCCUGCCUGGCAGCGAGGAGGUCCCACCUGCCCUGUCCAUACCUGUCUGGGUGACCUCCACCGGAUCAGUGCUUCUGCCCACCUUUGACUGUGGCUCCAGGACCCUGGCCGAGCUGCACCUGCUGUUUCUUUGCUCCCAGCUGAAGAGCUGGCAGCGCCUGUGGCUGGGCUGGGAAUUGAGCUGUCAGCAGCCCCCGCGGGAGUCCUGAACCUAUGCCUGACCCAGCAUGAGGCCACUCACUCCAGUCUGGAGUCCUCAGCCUGGCUGCCAGCAGGCCCGAUUAAAGUGUGGCUGGUACAAAGCCCAUGGAUAUAGGCCUUUAGACAAUCAUGUUAUUUAUAGCCUCAA